RNAcentral lists this ribosomal RNA (270 nucleotides) under uncultured archaeon. RNAcentral describes it as "partial 16S ribosomal RNA". It matches the Rfam family "Archaeal small subunit ribosomal RNA", at positions 477 to 747 of the family's 1478-position model. The record is from RNAcentral.
CAGCACCUCAAGUGGUCAGGAUGAUUAUUGGGCCUAAAGCAUCCGUAGCCGGCGCUGUAAGUUUUCGGUUAAAUCUGUACGCUCAACGUACAGGCUGCCGGGAAUACUGCAGCGCUAGGGAGUGGGAGAGGUAGACGGUACUCGGUAGGAAGGGGUAAAAUCCUUUGAUCUAUUGAUGACCACCUGUGGCGAAGGCGGUCUACCAGAACACGUCCGACGGUGAGGGGUGAAAGCUGGGGGAGCAAACCGGAUUAGAGACCCGAGUAGUCC